RNAcentral lists this ribosomal RNA (445 nucleotides) under uncultured bacterium. RNAcentral's name for it is "bacterial SSU rRNA". It matches the Rfam family "Bacterial small subunit ribosomal RNA", at positions 331 to 793 of the family's 1533-position model. The record is from RNAcentral.
CCAGACUCCUACGGGAGGCAGCAGUGGGGAAUAUUGCACAAUGGGGGAAACCCUGAUGCAGCGACGCCGCGUGGGCGAGGAAGUACCUCGGUAUGUAAAGCCCUAUCAGCAGGAACGAGACAAGACGGUACCUGACUAAGAAGCCCCGGCUAACUACGUGCCAGCAGCCGCGGUAAUACGGAGGAUGCGAGCGUUAUCCGGAUUUAUUGGGUUUAAAGGGUGCGCAGGCGGAAGAUCAAGUCAGCGGUAAAAUUGAGAGGCUCAACCUCUUCGAGCCGUUGAAACUGGUUUUCUUGAGUGAGCGAGAAGUAUGCGGAAUGCGUGGUGUAGCGGUGAAAUGCAUAGAUAUCACGCAGAACUCCGAUUGCGAAGGCAGCAUACCGGCGCUCAACUGACGCUCAUGCACGAAAGUGUGGGUAUCGAACAGGAUUAGAUACCCCGGUAG